AUUUAUUUCACACUCCGGACCACUUAUUUUCGCUGCGCGAUCGCGUCGAGGCAAACGUCAGCUGUUAGCAACGUUGUUAGCUUUGUGAGCACCAGAAUCGCACAUUCAAUUUGUUUGUGGGGAUAUGGGUGAUGUUAAGAGUUAGUUUUUGGAUUAGAAAGAGCCUUAACAUUUUAAGCACUAACAAUAAUAAUAUCCAACAAAACUUUAUUUUAGUUAUUUUGAUAAUAGUAGUGUUUCAGCUUUGUACUUCCCCUCAUUAAACAUACCUGUACUUUGCUUGAUUGUUUGCAUGGAAACAAGAAGAUGAGGGAAUAAAGAGACCACGUGCAUCAUCUCUACACACCCAGCACCCAGGAAUGUAAGUUAAUUGUAUCAUUCCUUAUACUUAGUAAACGUUACCACUUCUGUAUAGUAUUUUUUGUGACUCUAUGUUUGGAUUUACUAUAGAUAAUUUUCUUUUUUCCAUCUUCAUUUUCAGGUCUGAUUUCUCUGUUCUGCAACCAGCGUUAUGCAUGCCCCUCUGAACUCAAAAAGAUCCUGGCUUCUGCAUCCAGCCCCAUUUGGUCCACAACUCUACCCCAGGCCCGCUCUCUCCCUCAGCCAAGUGGAGUCCCUACAAAACGUGGUGCACAACUGGAGACAGGACAACGAUUUCACCUGAUACCACGUGACGACGAGCUGAAGCACACGCAUUUUAAAAGUGAGUUUUUUAUUAGAGUAGCCUCU
RNAcentral lists this long non-coding RNA (729 nucleotides) under Neogobius melanostomus (round goby). Its description in RNAcentral is "lncRNA (ENSNMLG00000019482.1)". Lineage: Eukaryota; Metazoa; Chordata; Actinopteri; Gobiiformes; Gobiidae. The record is from RNAcentral.